Molecule: long non-coding RNA, 330 nt
Filed under: Pan troglodytes (chimpanzee)
Lineage: Eukaryota; Metazoa; Chordata; Mammalia; Primates; Hominidae
Description: long non-coding RNA NONPTRT013537
Source: RNAcentral
GCAGAUGGUACUCUCUGCAACUCAUUCUGACGACAUAACAGGAGUUUCCUAUUUGUCUGCUGACCACCAUGAAAUUUAUCCAUAUUAUUUUAAAAGACAAAAAUAUAAUCAUGUAUUCCUUGAAUAAUUAAAUGCACUUCUUUUUAAAAAGACAGUGUUCCGAGGAACAGAGCCUUCUAUAGUCUGAAUAUGUCCUCCAAAUUUGCAUGUUGGAAACUUAAUCCCCAAUGCAGCAGUGUUGGGAAGAUUAAUGCUGCUAUCAAAAGAGCUUGAGCUAGCCUGGCCAACAUAGCAAAACCCUGUCCCUCAAAAUAAAUAAAUAAAUAAAUA